UCAAUUUCAAUGAAAGAGUAAAGCCGAAAAAAAAGAGAGAGCGAACAAAAUGUACGUGUGAAUUUUUCGUUUCGUUUCGUUUUCUGCAUCUUAUGGGGGCCAACGCUGAAAUGUCACGCAUGAAUAAUAUGUCAGAAUUGACAAUCAAAGUGAAGGUCAUACGAAUAACUAAUGCAUAUUGAGUGAUGCUGUCUAUCUCUGCUCUUGCAUCGAUUCCAUCGGCUGGCGUCUCGCGCAUCCAUGGAAACAAAAAGCAAUAAACAUAACCCGGCACACUCGUUCACAACCAAAAGCAGAGCCGAAAAAAAGAGGAACGAACAAAUAUUCUAUGUAUCGACAUAAAGAAAUAUGGAUUAAAUGCACGUGCGAGUUCGAUCUAGAAGAGAUUAUACGAAAAUGAGCGGAAGAGGAGAAAAAGGAAUGGAGUGGGAAUAAAUGAAACGCUUCUGACUUUCAAAUUGGAAUAUUCAUUUUAGUGGAAAAACGGAAAAACGAAGAAAAAUUGUUUCGCAUCAAAUCCAAAAGUUGAAUUUAUUCAUUUUAUUAAGGUAGAAAACAAGGAGUCGGAAUACCAGAGAGUAAUAAACAUCAUUUCAUUUGUCAUUUUCUGACUCUCAAACGACUCUCUUCCUUUUGCUCUCAUCCAAGGCACCAAGGCUGCAAUAAUAGGGCAAAAAAAAUGCUUUGUGCUUGUUUAAGCGUCUCGAUUCAGGUAGUUCGAUGAACACAUUCAACCCUCUGGUUGUUAUCAUCGUCGUUGUCGUCGGUUGGGCUUAGUUUUGCAUAAUUUAUUUGCAUUUCAUCGCAUUUAUUUGAAAAUCAUGUUUCAUAAUUGCUUUUCAGUUCAGAAUAUCCAACCAUAUUUUUUUCGCUCAAUCUCAGCAUCAGAACUCUCUUCAGAGCACAGAAAAAAACCACGAGAAAAAAGAGUAACACGCACAGGCACAUCCAUGAUGAAGUUUUUCCCUUUAUCGUGUGCAACAAACGUUCGGUUGGUUAGAGAUGGGUAAACUUUAAAAGUGGCAUUUAAAACGUGUUGCAUUCGAAAAAGCGAACAAACAAAAACGACAUUUUCGCCAAACUUAACCAAACACUUUCGCAUUUUCUCUUUCUAUUUGCUUUGCACCGAAUGGGAUUCGAAUUCGGUUCAUUUAACAGAUUCACAUUUCAUUUUAGUUCUCGGUUUAUUGUGAAAAAUCUGCUCCGAUUGAAGCCAUGUUUUUAAUCAAAUUCCCCAAAAUGUUGAUUGUUUCCAUAGCAAAUGAAUGCUAGACAUUGUUAAAUAUGCAGCAGCAGAGAGAAAGACAGAGAGAGCGUUCUUUAUUGUGUUAGGUAAAACUAUGCCAUUUAUUUAAUAAGACAAAAUGUCCCGAUAUUUGGAGUACGCCACACACACAUAUAGACACAUACACCAGAAACCAUAUAGUCCUCAUCCAUAUUCCAUGAGUGUGCAAUGCAUAAAGCAUGCAAAAAUCAUCGUUCUAUAUAGAAUUUGUGUGAAAAUUUCGAAUAAGUACGGCUACUGAACGAGUAUAAGAAGCGGAAAGGCGAUUAGAUAUUAUAACGUAUGUAUGAGCACAUCUCCUUAUGCUAUCAUACGGGAUUAAUAUCGUCUCGUUCUGUGUGUAUGUGUGUCUGUCUGUCUCUCUUUCUCUCAAACACUCUUCCUUUGUGGUGCAUGAGCAAAUGCAAUUCGGAUUCCAUUUGAUAAAAUAUGUCACAGGCACUCCAAACGAUAAUAUGCUGGUUGUGCAAAAACGACUGGAAAAUCCGGUCUCUCCAUUUUUUUUCCUCUUCUCUCUUCUUUUUUUUCAUACUGAAAUGGUUUCGACAUUCCGGACAAAUGAUCCAGAGUUCGAUGUGCAAAUAAGAUACCCGGUUGAAUAUACACAUACCAUUUAAUGGACCAAGAUGUUUAACGCAAUUUCCCAGAUUUCAUUGUGAACCAUUUCUUGUUUGAUUAUCAAUGAAAUUAUCUCAUUUGCACGCUAUUUGCUUCUUCAGCAAUAUUCAUUUUCGAGAAUGUUAUUUCCGUUUAUUUUCUUCUUCGAUAAUGUUCACAUCGGAAAAUGCUACCGAGCAUAUGCUGCCUAAAUGUUAACCAUUUUAAUGGCGAAAAAAACAACAACUUUCCAACCCAAGCGAAAAAAAUUCGAUCGAUCGAAACGUUGUUUCGACGACCCAAAGAAAGAAAAGAAAAGAAAUGGCAAUAGAUGCAUUAGCAGCGAAUUAGAAAUUAAUUUAAUGAUUUGGCGCGAAUGCCAAAAUUUCACGAGUGAACGAGUUAAAAAAAAAGCGAUGAAACUACUUACCAAAGUGGCGGGAACAAAUGUUGGAACUGUUUCAAAGUAGCCUAUCGUGCUUGUAUACGAUCGCACCAAAAAAUACACGCCGAGGAACAUAGUGCCAAGUAGACAUGAUAGACCGCCGCAUAUUAAGCACCAAACAACAUAUUUUCGAAUGCCAGCUCGCGGUGACACUAAGAGAGAGGCGAAGAUUCGAUGUGGAAUAGAGAGAAAAAGAGUGAGAUAAAACAAUGAAACCAAAAUGGAAAAUGAUAAAAUGCAAAUCGCAUAGCAGGCGGAAUAUAUAGACAUAUAUACCAAACGACGAUGAAAAAGAAAAUGAUUGUAAAAUGUUGUAAAAUCCAUGCAGAAGGAAAAAAAAACAAAUCCCAAGACCGUCAUAAGCAUGCAUUGCAUAAAGAUGGAUUGUUUCCUUUACUUUUCGUAUUCGUUUUUUUUAUGUUCGGUCGCUUUGUUGUCAUCGUUUUGUGUGCAAAGACAUUUAUCGAAGUGCUCAAGCGAAUGCUCGAAAGAUUUCUGGGACAAAAAUGUAAAUCCAACCGAAAAAUGCAGCAAGCAAUGAAAAAGAAAACCUAAUGGCAGCCAAAAGAGAUAGUGAUAGAGAAAUCAAAGCGCCAGCAUUCAUCGGAACUGAAGAAAUAUUUUCAAGUCGGACGACAGCAACCGAAAAAAAAUGAAAUAUAACAUAGUAAUAGCAUAAUUGGCAAAGGCCAUAAGAGACGCGAAGCGACGCAAACAUACUGGAAUAUUAACCCAUUAACGCAUUGAAAACCCCGAGCAUCACAAGGUAUACUUUGACAAUUUUUUCACAUCAUACUACCUCAUGUGUCUGGUGAAUGAAAAACGAUUAUGUGCAACGGGAACUGUACGCAAACAACUGAAGCGUGGAGAGACUGAUUUCGUGCUCGAUACUACAAACAAGAUUUUGAUGCGUCGUUGGUCAGACAACAAAGAUGUUACUCUUUGUACAAACAUCGAUCAAUUGACUAGAUAAAUCUUCUCGAAUAGGAAAAUAUCCCGUUAUUUACUUUCUGAAUAAAAAACACUAUAUGUGAAAUUACUUGACUUCAUUUCUUUUCGCGGCUAUGAAAUCCAUACUGACGAUAUUUUUCGACCUGUCCUAGUGGUCAUGCACACAACACACGUUGAGCGGUCAAUAUAUACACACACUACAGACACGCUAUCAAAGGAUUUAUACGGUUUGCGCGAA
Molecule: long non-coding RNA, 3516 nt
Organism: Sitodiplosis mosellana (orange wheat blossom midge)
Lineage: Eukaryota; Metazoa; Arthropoda; Insecta; Diptera; Cecidomyiidae
Exons: 2
Source: RefSeq, a predicted model, not a curated record